AGCGUUGUUCGGAAUUACUGGGCGUAAAGGGCUCGUAGGCGGCCAACUAAGUCAGACGUGAAAUCCCUCAGCUUAACUGGGGAACUGCGUCUGAUACUGGAUGGCUUGGAUUCGGGAGAGGAAUGCGGAAUUCCAGGUGUAGCGGUGAAAUGCGUAGAUAUCUGGAGGAACACCGGUGGCGAAGGCGGCAUUCUGGACCGACAUUGACGCUGAGGAGCGAAAGCCAGGGGAGCAAACGGG
Molecule: ribosomal RNA, 240 nt
Filed under: uncultured bacterium
Lineage: Bacteria
Description: partial 16S ribosomal RNA
Rfam family: Bacterial small subunit ribosomal RNA
Source: RNAcentral